CUGAGCCCUAAUCUGCUUCAUCUAUGUGUGACUUUCCUCCCCUCCUCGCGUUCAUAUAUGCAUUCUUUUCCUCGUGUUCUUUGCCAGUUUGUCUUGUGCCAUCUUGCCAGCAUCGCAGCCUGUUUCUGGGUGUGAUCUUCCAAGUGUCACAUGUGUGCAAGACUGACCAUGACUUUGUUGCUGGGCAUAGCCCUGCUGGCCUGGACUCUUUCAGGCCCUACUGUGGCCUUUGUCCCCAUCGGAGGUGGGCUGUCCACUCA
This is a long non-coding RNA of Amphiprion ocellaris (clown anemonefish), 260 nucleotides long. The record is from Ensembl. NCBI's taxonomy places the organism in Eukaryota, Metazoa, Chordata, Actinopteri, Pomacentridae.